UACGUAGGGGGCUAGCGUUGUCCGGAAUCAUUGGGCGUAAAGAGCGCGUAGGCGGUCCGAUAAGUCGGCUGUGAAAGUCAGGGGCUCAACCCUUGGAAGCCGGCCGAUACUGUCGGACUAGAGUCCGGAAGAGGCGAGUGGAAUUCCCGGUGUAGCGGUGAAAUGCGCAGAUAUCGGGAGGAACACCAAUGGCGAAGGCAGCUCGCUGGGACGGUACUGACGCUGAGGCGCGAAAGCGUGGGGAGCAAACAGG
Molecule: ribosomal RNA, 253 nt
Filed under: uncultured bacterium
Lineage: Bacteria
Description: partial 16S ribosomal RNA
Rfam family: Bacterial small subunit ribosomal RNA
Source: RNAcentral